CCUACGGGAGGCAGCAGUGGGGGAUAUUGCACAAUGGGGGAAACCCUGAUGCAGCGACGCCGCGUGGGUGAAGAAGCGCCUCGGCGCGUAAAGCCCUGUCAGCCGGGAAGAAAAUGACGGUACCUGAAGAAGAAGCCCCGGCUAACUACGUGCCAGCAGCCGCGGUAAUACGUAGGGGGCAAGCGUUAUCCGGCUUUACUGGGGGUAAAGGGGGCGCAGACGGCGAUGCAAGCCAGGAGGGAAAGCCCGGGGCCCAACCCCGGGACUGCUCUUGGAACUGCGUGGCUAGAGUGCAGGAGGGGCAGGCGGAAUGCCUGGUGUAGCGGUGAAAUGCGUAGAUAUCAGGAGGAACACCGGUGGCGAAGGCGGCCUGCUGGACUGCAACUGACGUUGAGGCCCGAAAGCGUGGGGAGCAAACAGGAUUAGAUACCCCGGUAGUC
Molecule: ribosomal RNA, 440 nt
Filed under: uncultured bacterium
Lineage: Bacteria
Description: partial 16S ribosomal RNA
Rfam family: Bacterial small subunit ribosomal RNA
Source: RNAcentral